AUUGAACGCUGGCGGCAGGCCUAACACAUGCAAGUCGAACGGUAGCACAGAGGAGCUUGCUCCUUGGGUGACGAGUGGCGGACGGGUGAGUAAUGUCUGGGAAACUGCCCGAUGGAGGGGGAUAACUACUGGAAACGGUAGCUAAUACCGCAUAACGUCGCAAGACCAAAGAGGGGGACCUUCGGGCCUCUUGCCAUCGGAUGUGCCCAGAUGGGAUUAGCUAGUAGGUGGGGUAACGGCUCACCUAGGCGACGAUCCCUAGCUGGUCUGAGAGGAUGACCAGCCACACUGGAACUGAGACACGGUCCAGACUCCUACGGGAGGCAGCAGUGGGGAAUAUUGCACAAUGGGCGCAAGCCUGAUGCAGCCAUGCCGCGUGUGUGAAGAAGGCCUUCGGGUUGUAAAGUACUUUCAGCGAGGAGGAAGGUGUUGAGGUUAUUAACCUCAGCAAUUGACGUUACUCGCAGAAGAAGCACCGGCUAACUCCGUGCCAGCAGCCGCGGUAAUACGGAGGGUGCAAGCGUUAAUCGGAAUUACUGGGCGUAAAGCGCACGCAGGCGGUCUGUCAAGUCGGAUGUGAAAUCCCCGGGCUCAACCUGGGAACUGCAUCCGAAACUGGCAGGCUAGAGUCUUGUAGAGGGGGGUAGAAUUCCAGGCGUAGCGGUGAAAUGCGUAGAGAUCUGGAGGAAUACCGGUGGCGAAGGCGGCCCCCUGGACAAAGACUGACGCUCAGGUGCGAAAGCGUGGGGAGCAAACAGGAAUAGAUACCCCUGGUAGUCCCCGCCGUAAACGAUGCCAACUUGGAGGUUGUGCCCUUGAGGCGUGGCUUCCGGAGCUAACGCGUUAAGUCGACCGCCUGGGGAGUACGGCCGCAAGGUUAAAACUCAAAUGAAUUGACGGGGGCCCGCACAAGCGGUGGAGCAUGUGGUUUAAUUCGAUGCAACGCGAAGAACCUUACCUACUCUUGACAUCCAGAGAACUUAGCAGAGAUGCUUUGGUGCCUUCGGGAACUCUGAGACAGGUGCUGCAUGGCUGUCGUCAGCUCGUGUUGUGAAAUGUUGGGUUAAGUCCCGCAACGAGCGCAACCCUUAUCCUUUGUUGCCAGCGAUUCGGUCGGGAACUCAAAGGAGACUGCCAGUGAUAAACUGGAGGAAGGUGGGGAUGACGUCAAGUCAUCAUGGCCCUUACGAGUAGGGCUACACACGUGCUACAAUGGCAUAUACAAAGAGAAGCGACCUCGCGAGAGCAAGCGGACCUCAUAAAGUAUGUCGUAGUCCGGAUUGGAGUCUGCAACUCGACUCCAUGAAGUCGGAAUCGCUAGUAAUCGUGGAUCAGAAUGCCACGGUGAAUACGUUCCCGGGCCUUGUACACACCGCCCGUCACACCAUGGGAGUGGGUUGCAAAAGAAGUAGGUAGCUUAACCUUCGGGA
Molecule: ribosomal RNA, 1430 nt
Filed under: uncultured bacterium
Lineage: Bacteria
Description: bacterial SSU rRNA
Rfam family: Bacterial small subunit ribosomal RNA
Source: RNAcentral